UACGGGGGGAGCAAGCGUUGUUCGGAUUUACUGGGCGUAAAGGGCGCGUAGGCGGUCGUGACAAGUCACUUGUGAAAUCUCCGGGCUUAACUCGGAACGGUCAAGUGAUACUGCCGGACUAGAGUACAGAAGGGGCAACUGGAAUUCUCGGUGUAGCGGUGAAAUGCGUAGAUAUCGAGAGGAACACCUGCGGCGAAGGCGGGUUGCUGGGCUGACACUGACGCUGAUGCGCGAAAGCUAGGGGAGCGAACAGG
Molecule: ribosomal RNA, 254 nt
Filed under: uncultured bacterium
Lineage: Bacteria
Description: partial 16S ribosomal RNA
Rfam family: Bacterial small subunit ribosomal RNA
Source: RNAcentral